CCAUCAUAAGCAUCCACCCAUUUUCCGCCAAUAAAGCCUCGAGUCUGUAAAAAACCAGAGCUGUUCAGCCUCGCAAGAACAUCAUUCGCCCCCAUUCUUGGCUAACCGAUAAAAAACCUGAGAGAGAGAGAGAGAGAGAGAGAGAGAGAUGAUUGAAGAAGUGAAAGAGAAAUAAA
Molecule: long non-coding RNA, 176 nt
Organism: Daucus carota subsp. sativus
Lineage: Eukaryota; Viridiplantae; Streptophyta; Magnoliopsida; Apiales; Apiaceae
Exons: 2
Source: RefSeq, a predicted model, not a curated record